RNAcentral lists this ribosomal RNA (477 nucleotides) under uncultured bacterium. Its description in RNAcentral is "bacterial SSU rRNA". It matches the Rfam family "Bacterial small subunit ribosomal RNA", at positions 24 to 518 of the family's 1533-position model. The record is from RNAcentral.
UCAGGACGAACGCUGGCGGCGUGCUUAACACAUGCAAGUCGAGCGAUGAAGCUCCUUCGGGAGUGGAUUAGCGGCGGACGGGUGAGUAACACGUGGGUAACCUGCCUCAUAGAGGGGAAUAGCCUUUCGAAAGGAAGAUUAAUACCGCAUAAGAUUGUAGUACUGCAUGGUACAGCAAUUAAAGGAGCAAUCCGCUAUGAGAUGGACCCGCGUCGCAUUAGCUAGUUGGUGAGGUAACGGCUCACCAAGGCGACGAUGCGUAGCCGACCUGAGAGGGUGAUCGGCCACAUUGGGACUGAGACACGGCCCAGACUCCUACGGGAGGCAGCAGUGGGGAAUAUUGCACAAUGGGGGAAACCCUGAUGCAGCAACGCCGCGUGAGUGAUGACGGCCUUCGGGUUGUAAAACUCUGUCUUUGGGGACGAUAAUGACGGUACCCAAGGAGGAAGCCACGGCUAACUACGUGCCAGCCGCAGC